This is a long non-coding RNA of Mercenaria mercenaria, 2486 nucleotides long. RefSeq lists it as uncharacterized. The transcript is spliced from 3 exons. The record is from RefSeq and is a predicted model, not a curated record. Lineage: Eukaryota; Metazoa; Mollusca; Bivalvia; Venerida; Veneridae.
GUAUCAUACAAGUAUAAAAAAUAUUUUAAAAUUGCCUUCAUAGCUUUAACUGCAAGUGAGACAUUUACGUUUAACAAAUCAUGUUUUUUUUUUUGCAGUUUUCCAGGUUGCUAUGGUGGCAUUAUUGCAUAGAUGAGAGACCAUCCAUGAUUCAUACACAACAUCGACUGACGUGGUUUCAGAUCUGGAGCAGGAAGGGUGACCGUGUGUACAUACAGAUCAUGGACUAAGGUAUUGUCAGAUCUGGAGCAUAAAUGGUGUGUAUGUUUUCAUAUUUUCUUUGUCUGGAAUGUUUAAGGUACCCUUAGAAUUAAUAUAGGUUUCUGUUUUUACACAUAACUUUAUGGGUUUUUUUCUAAAUACUAAAAUGGGUAGCCACGGAAACAUACGUCUAGGCAAUGAAAUAAAUAGAUGGCAGCUGUUCAGAUGUACAAUCUUAUACAGCAGAUUUUGGAAAAUACAGGGAGUGUACAUGUAUGUUUACUUUUUGUUUUUUGUGGCAACACUUUGAUACAUUUGUUUUUGUUUUACACAUGCCUUUUGUAUCCAUACACACAACUGCAACAGGGGCUCCAUGGAAACGUGUCUCUACGUCUAGGAAUUGGUAUAAUGGGUGACCAACGUUCAGAGUUUGGAACAUAUAGGGUUUGUAUGUUUACUUUUUAUUUUUUUGUGGCAUCAUUUGGAUAUAUUUGUUUUUUAUUUUACACAUGCCUCUCUGUAUCUAUACAUUCAACAGGAUAACCAUGGAAACCAACAUCUACAUCUAGGCAAAGGUUCAAACAGCAGUGAGAGAAAUCCUGCAACCGGCAAACGCUUAGCUUUAAUUAAUCUAAGCCUUGCUAGGACCUGUAAAUGAAUUCAGGCAAAACUUGAAUAUAAACAAACAUCUGGAUAAUAGGUGUGCUUAUUGAAUUAUUGAAAACCCAAUCUACCUUGUAUGUUUUUGCUGCGGAAUUCUUGGUGUUUGGUGUCUGCUGUUUUGUCAGGCUUUUGUUUACAAUGGCUACUUGGUGGUGAUUGUGGUGUUGUUUGUGUGUUUGUGGUGGUUGUUUUGGUGUUUGUGGUGGUGGUUUUGGUGUUUGUGGUGGUGGUUUUGGUGUUUGUGGUGGUUGUUUUGGUGUUUGUGGUGGUUGUUUUGGUGUUUGUGGUGGUGGUUUUGGUGUUUGUGAUGGUGUAUUCCAUGUGAUCUUCUCAGUUGUAUUCGAUUUCGAUAAUGUUUUCGUUGUUUUGUUAAAAUAGGCUUUUGAUGCACAUUGUUUGUCGCAUUGGGUUCUUAAUCUUUCGUUCCGUUCCAAGAUGAUUUCCUUUCUGCCAUUAGCAAUACAUUAUAACUAGAUUUAUUGAUGUACACAAAUAUUGCGCUGUGAUUAAUCUGUCAGUUUACGUUUCCCAUCAGUUCUAGAUAGUUGCAAGGACAUGUCAUGAAAUUUGCAGACGACGGAUAUGGGGUGCAGGCGAGAUCUGGGUUGAACUCGCGAAAGCUGCAAAGACAUGCCAUGAAAUAUGCAGACGACAGACAUGCGGUGCAGACGAGAUCUUGGUUGAACGCGCGAAAUUGUUUUAUUUAUUUCUGCGUUUUACGCUUUUUGUUUUUGUUCUUUUUUCUGCUAGAAUGCUGGGGUAUGUAUACUUGAAGAAAAAAGACGCAGACGGACAUGGAGAUGCAGACCAAGCAAAAUGUGCGUUUCUCUUUAUGAUGAACAGGUAUGUAUAUUGCUAAUUAUGUUAUCCUUUUUUUGUAUGCAUUUUUUCAACCUGGUGGCUGAUGUUUACAAGCACGUGUGAAUAUAUCCAGUUGUAGACAAUGCAAUGGUUUUGUAGGUGGUGCAGCUAUGGUACAUGAUAUUGACUACAAUUACGUGCGUGGAUGUCAUGAAGAUUUCACAGUGGUUAAGUGGAUGCUGCAACUUGAUCCUUUUUCUAAGGUAUGUAAUUUUUUUUGACAGGUACAAUUAGAUAAUUUCGUUUGAUAGCUUUUUUGCAGUUUACAUCCCGCAAGUUACGCACAUUCAUCUUCAUUUUAAUAGAUUUUCUAUAAAUUUUAUAUUUUCUGGUUAUCGUAUGGUCGUACAUGGUUUUAAUUCUUUUUUUUUAGCUCAUCUGAUUUUUUGGAGAAAAAAAAAAUGAUGAGUUAUUGUCAUUAAAUUUUACAAAAUAACAAUUUCGGUAACAAAACUUAAGGAUUAUAUAUCCAUAUGUAAUAAGAGGAUUUAUAACAUGACAGUUAGUUGCCAAUUAUAUCUAGCAGACGACACUUGCUGCUUUUACCAGAUGAAGCCAGUGGCGGAAGAAGGGACCCGAUGCCUGGAGUAACUUUGCAGUAUAAAAUUUUGCACUGUUCGAUUGGUCAAGAUAGUGUGGUUUUAGUGGAAUUCAGCCCUUGAUGGACAUAUCGUCUGUAUUUGCCCUGGCCUGGUGAUGGUAGAGAGCUCUUCCACACCUCGUGCACAUAUCAGAAUCCGCGAGGUAGGCGACGAAUUUAU